CUCCCCUCAAGCUCUGCUUGGUAUUGGGCCCUGCUAGUCAUAGCCAGCCCUAAAUCCAGUGGGCCCAGCCCCGAGGAAUCUAGGUGUGGUUUAUCCUCCGCCUCAGGCCCUCGCGACCGGUGCCUAUCCCAAUCCCUCUGUGG
Molecule: unclassified non-coding RNA, 143 nt
Filed under: uncultured Ascomycota
Lineage: Eukaryota; Fungi; Ascomycota
Description: sequence contains ITS2
Source: RNAcentral